This 433-nucleotide unclassified non-coding RNA is filed under the name soil metagenome. RNAcentral's name for it is "partial contains 5.8S ribosomal RNA, internal transcribed spacer 2, and large subunit ribosomal RNA". The stretch from base 1 to 120 matches the Rfam family "5.8S ribosomal RNA", at positions 35 to 154 of the family's 154-position model. The record is from RNAcentral.
GAUGAAGAACGUAGCGAAAUGCGAUACGUAAUGUGAAUUGCAGAAUUCAGUGAAUCAUCGAAUCUUUGAACGCAUAUUGCGCUCUCUGGUAUUCCGGAGAGCAUGCUUGUUUGAGUAUCAGUAAACACCUCAACUCCCUUUUCUUUUUUGAAAUGGGAGCUGGACUUGAGUGAUCCCAACACUUUUCUCACUGGAAAGUGGCGGGUCACUUGAAAUGCAGGUGCAGCUGGACUUUUCUCUGAGCUAUAAGCAUAUCUAUUUAGUCUGCCUAAAAAACAGAUUAUUACCUUUGCUGCAGCUAACAUAAAGGAGAUGAGUUCUUGUGCUGACUGAUGCAGGAUUCACAGAGACAGCUUUGCGGCUGACUUUGUAAACUCGAUCUCAAAUCAAGUAAGACUACCCGCUGAAUUUAAGCAUAUCAAUAAGCGGAGGA